Molecule: ribosomal RNA, 497 nt
Filed under: uncultured bacterium
Lineage: Bacteria
Description: partial 16S ribosomal RNA
Rfam family: Bacterial small subunit ribosomal RNA
Source: RNAcentral
GAUGAACGCUGGCGGCGUGCCUAAUACAUGCAAGUCGAGCGAACGGACGAGAAGCUUGCUUCUCUGAUGUUAGCGGCGGACGGGUGAGUAACACGUGGAUAACCUACCUAUAAGACUGGGAUAACUUCGGGAAACCGUAGCUAAUACCGGAUAAUAUUUUGAACCGCAUGGUUCAAAAGUGAAAGACGGUCUUGCUGUCACCUAUAGAUGGAUCCGCGCUGCAUUAGCUAGUUGGUAAGGUAACGGCUUACCAAGGCAACGAUGCAUAGCCGACCUGAUAGGGUGAUCGGCCACACUGGAACUGAGACACGGUCCAGACUCCUACGGGAGGCAGCAGUAGGGAAUCUUCCGCACUGGGCGAAAGCCUGACGGAGCAACGCCGCGUGAGUGAUGAAGGUCUUCGGAUCGUAAAACUCUGUUAUUAGGGAAGAACAUAUGUGUAAGUAACUGUGCACAUCUUGACGGUACCUAAUCAGAAAGCCCCGGCUAACUACGUG